UUCCAGACGGAUGAGCCUCUGAACUCCAAGCCUGCUGCCUCUCAGCCUAUACCGAAGAUCCUGCGCUUCAGACCUCUCAAAUGCCGACUUCAAGGCAGAAGGACUCACAGAAGCCCCAACCGCCGCUCUCUCUCCUCGGCCAAGUGGUGAUGAAUUCGCCUUCUCUACAAAUAAUGGAAUGACGCGCCGCCCAGGGCUCACAGACAGCCCGACGGGCGCGUGUAGGGGCGGGCUGCCCCUGCUCUCUUGGAGUCUUUGCAGUGUGGAGGACAAGCUGGUGAUGGAGCCAAAAUUCUCCCCCUUCCCUUUUCCCGAACUUAAACGCAUUAGUCCUGCUCGGAGCACAGGAGUGCAGAGGGAAGAAUUGUUGAGUGAGAUAUGAUACAAUAUGAAAAAUGUCUCUGGUCUCUGAGCCACUUGUGUGAUGGAGCAUGACUUUGGCAGAAUAUCCUUUGAUUAACAUUGCUUAGACCCAUGUCAUAAACCUCCAUUGAAGCUUGACAUGUCAACAAAGACUGAAAAUUAUAUUUCAUCCCAAUUUGUGAAGAGUAAAAAUUAAUAUGAAGAUCAUAUCUAAAAGGUGGGCUCCAUGCCCCUUUUGCCUCCAGUUUUGAGAGGAUCUUGAGGGAAAAAAGGAGAAAAGUGAGAUGGUGAAACCUCCUCUAACAAUUUGAUUAAAAGUGAGAUCAGACUGACUGGUAUGGACGUAUUUAAUUCCUUCCUCAAGUGACAGCCUCCAGGCCAGACCAUUAGAAUGGCAAAGAGAAGAAUGGGACACAGAAAACACUUUUGGUAAGGGCAGAGAAGAUACCCAGACCCACCAGAUUUCUGCCAAAUUACCCUCCAAACAACUUGGAAAUAAUGCAUUUAAAUGAAUUCUGGAAUGGAAAAAUCCACAAAAGGAUGAAGAAAAAUCUUUUUUUUCAGCCCAAAACUAUGUAGAUAGUCAGCAUGAAAGAUCUACUGCUCAGGUGGAAGUAGAGUGUGUACAUCCGGGAACCAAGGCACCUCCUCAAGCUAGCAUGGGCUUUGGGGAUGACUAAAUCAACAACAAUGGCUUCUGAAACUCUCAGCCACAAGCUAUAAGGAAGAGUAGAUAAUAGAUGAGGAGGGAAUUAUAGGGGUCCCUUGCUGGCUUUGGGUACAAUACUCUGUAAUAUUGCUCCUAUGCAGAUUACAUAGUCCUGCAUCCCAAUCCCAGGAGUAAGGGGGAGCACUAAUAUACUCUAGCACUUGCAGCCACAGGGGAGCUGUGUCUCUAGUCAAAAUUAUAAGGUAGAAAGGAGAACCCAUGCUUUUUUUUACAGAGAAGAACACAGACUGCGAGAAUAUUAAGCAUACCUCUUCUUAGAUCAUACCACCUUAGAAUAAUUAAAAACUUAUAGAUCACACACUAGCUCCUAAGGCAGCUGCACAAAGAACCCAGAUUUUGGAAUAGUGCUCAUUUCUUCACAAGAAAGGAGCCCAAUUAUAACUUUCUUUUAAGUUAAAAGAAAAGGGAAAAGGCUAGAAAAUGAGCAAACAACAACAAAAAGAAACUCAACACAUGAAAUUAUUUUGGUGACAGAGAAGACUAAAAUACAAACAGAAGAAGACAACAAAGUCAAUAUUUUUUUCAUCCAAAGCCUCUAAGAAACAUAUGAAUUGGUUUCAAGAAUUAAUGGAGGAGGUCAAAAAGGAUUUUUAAAAUAAAAUAAGACAGAUAAAAGAAAAAUUGGGAAAA
This is a long non-coding RNA of Monodelphis domestica (gray short-tailed opossum), 1723 nucleotides long. NCBI's taxonomy places the organism in Eukaryota, Metazoa, Chordata, Mammalia, Didelphimorphia, Didelphidae. The record is from Ensembl.